UUAGAAAAUGUUGUUGUACUAUAACCUCAGCAACGUGAGCAGUUUUGCUUCCUCUUUUCCCCUAUCAGGAUGAGACUUUGCCUGUUCCACUAAAAGGAAGUAUUUUACCACUCCUCUUUGGCACGCCUGAACUGCCAGAAUCGUUACUUGCUUUGGGGCCAUUAUUAAGUAAAACACAGGCAACAAGCACUGUGAUGCCACAAUGGUCAAUCUGACAACAGAUUCACAGAUUCAGCUUCUAAGCAGCCAACACCCAGGCAGUGUAGUCAGGCUGGAUACGCCGGACAAAGGAAUGACACGUAAGGAGUCACUGGUGAGGAGGUUCUACCACCUCCCAGUAGGGCCACAGGCUGAGGUCCAGGCCUCCAACACACAUCCUCUGGAGGACUCAUACGACCAGAGCUAUAGCUCUUGAAAAGAACGAGAAGCUAGUAAAGAUACAGGAGGAACUCACAUCCAUUAAGAAUCAGGACUUCUAGGCAAGGAGAUUUCCAGCCAUGCAGCAGUGCAAGCCAGCUGAGUUAAAGUCACUUUGGCACGGAUGUCUGGAGAAGAGUGACAGUUACGCCUAAGCCGGGUAGCUCAUUUCAUAUCCAUAACCACAAAUGAUUUAAUUUCGCAGUGGCCACUUGGGUCAAUGAGAGUUAGGAUCAGAAUUUCACUGGGACUGUUAGAAAACAGUCUUCCUCUUUCCUGCUGAAAUUGCUACCAAUAAAGAUACUGAGGAAGCCGGCGCUGGCACGGUCCACCAUGUGGGAUCAGAACAUGAAGCCACACAGUCAGAAGCAGACUCAGACAGUGAUGUGCUGCCUCCUAAUGAAUCUAAUCCAACCAUAUCUAAAUCUCACUGCUCUGUGGAGUCUGCAGUUUCUGAGCCAAUAAAAUCCCAUUUUUGCUUAAGCCUGGUUGAAUCAGAUUAUAUACUCUCAAUGGAAAGAUUUCUGGCUAAUCUUAUUUCCCAUGCAACCCUCACUUUGAGGACAAAUUUAGUGAAGAGACAGCCCCCUCUAUUUCACUUACCCAUUGGUUUAUUUCUCUGCAAACAUAAAUUAAGAAUAAUGUAUAGGAAAAUCUUGCCUAGGACCUUAUAAUUGCAACCAACGACACCAAAAGUCACUCUUUUCUAAGCUGAGCUAGCAUUAGCAAACCAGAAAGAUAAACAGACUACAAAGGCUUCACUGAGGACCAUCUGAGCUCUGAUCGGCUUGUCUCAAACAGUGUGAAGCAAGAUUUAUGCUUUAGCCCUGAAGCUGUCACAUUCUAAGCUGCUGAUGCACGUAAGUAAAAAUCUAUUGUGCAGAGACUGAUUCCAGGAGAUAAACAGCAAGCUGCUUCCGCAAACACUGCUGUGAACAACAUUUGGCACCUGGCCCCCAGCACGCAGGUGAAGAAACUAAAGCAUAAUCCCUUAUCCUGUACAACCCUGACUGCAAGUAUGUGCCAGAAAACACGGGAGGGAAAAAGCUACUGCGACCACAAAUACAGCAUGGAUACACGCCACAGAGGAGAAAAAUAACAGCCAGUUUGGGAGUGGACUUUUCUUCUUUCAAAGCAAAUCCUCGAACUCCGACGUUUUUCAUAUUCAGUGGGCUUUCCCUUGACACCUACAUUUGCCAUGUAUCACAGACGGGUACGCUCAUUCUAGUAACACACAUUCUCCGUCUCCCCAGCUAGGUGUAAGUCCCUGGCAGACUAGGAUCUUGUCUUCCCAGGCCUCAAAUAGUAUCUGUCAUACAGUACACUUAGAGGCAAUUUAUCAAAACAUGAAAUACUCAGCUAGCAAAGAGUUUAUCAUGAAAUGAAUAAUUCUCCCUUCCUUGCUUAAAAAUAGUAGUUACUACUUACUGAAUGCUCUUGCCCACCAAGAGAUUUGCUAAAACCACAGAGA
This is a long non-coding RNA of Chinchilla lanigera (long-tailed chinchilla), 1888 nucleotides long. RefSeq lists it as uncharacterized. The transcript has 3 exons. Lineage: Eukaryota; Metazoa; Chordata; Mammalia; Rodentia; Chinchillidae. The record is from RefSeq and is a predicted model, not a curated record.